UGGUGAAAAAAAGGGGCGUUUAUUUCAACGACUACUGUAGCUUUAAGAGAAUUAUCGACCAUCAUCACACUCCAGCCAAGCAACGUAGUUCCCCACCACAGCAGCAGCGGAUUAAUAUCCAAAACGUUAACAGGUUAGUGUCUGCUCAGCAGGUGGAUGAACAUGUAAUGGAGUUGCAGCAUCAGUCGCUGACCAAGGAAUUACUGGGGAAGUUGGUGGUAGAGGGAGGCUAUUGACAUGUCACAGGAAGAUGCUCAAAAAUGUAGAGCACAUGGAGAAGAUCUCUAUGCUGGCUUUCCAUCCAGUUAAGAUGCACAGCUGCUAUGAGAAGGUGGUGAACCUGAGCCUUGAGGGUCUGCAUCAACAGUUUGACCAAAUGGACAAUGCUGUGUAGAUGUUUGAGCAGAUCCUUCAUCAGAGUCUCGAGUCUCAGGGUACAGAGGAGCUGUGUAAGAUCAUCCAGCACUGCCAGGACAGAGUCAUUAAGGUAAUACCCAAAGAAAACAGGCUUGUGCAUCAAAUUCUUGCAUAACAUCCACAUUAAUAUCUCAUAAUAUUACAUCUGGCAUACUCCAGCCCUGGGAGUGAAACUUUUGGUCUGGCCUUGUUUUAGUGUAAAAGAAAAUUCAGGGUUUUGUUUCACUUCAGAUGAGCACAAAUUAAGACGUCAGGAAACGUAAGUGACUGCCACUGCCUGUGUCACUCCUACACAAGGUGUAGCUAUUGUAAAACAAGAUGUGAGUCAGUAUAUGAAAUCAGUGUUUUUCUCUUUCUCGUUCUUAAAUAUGAUGUCAUCAUCCCAGUUUCUUGAAUGUCUAAUGAACUAAACAUCAUUUAGCGAGAUAACCACGUCCUGUGCCAAAUUAAUAAAAUGCACAUGGAAAGAGUGACACCACUAUUGUUCAUGAAAGAUUGCACCAAAACAACUCAAAAUGAAGUAAACUUAUUUCAAUUGUACCGGUUUUCUUAA
Solea solea (common sole) is the source of this 970-nucleotide long non-coding RNA. RefSeq lists it as uncharacterized. The transcript is spliced from 3 exons. The record is from RefSeq and is a predicted model, not a curated record. NCBI's taxonomy places the organism in Eukaryota, Metazoa, Chordata, Actinopteri, Pleuronectiformes, Soleidae.